This 2628-nucleotide unclassified non-coding RNA is filed under the name Hevea brasiliensis (rubber tree). Lineage: Eukaryota; Viridiplantae; Streptophyta; Magnoliopsida; Malpighiales; Euphorbiaceae. The record is from RNAcentral.
UUAUUUUAGGGUACACCAAAGUUGAGGACUUUAUAUAAAUGUGGGUGUGGGGCUGUUGAGUCUUUACAAGGAGUGUUGGUGAGACUUUUUAGCAUUAGUGGAACUUGUUCAUAGCUAGUGGUCUUGUUUCCCUCUAGCUAGUGUAUGUGUGUGAUAUGGGCAGGCAACCUUGCUGUGAUAAACUUGGGGUCAAGAAAGGGCCAUGGACAGCUGAGGAAGACAAGAAACUGAUCAACUUCAUUCUCACCAAUGGCCAGUGCUGUUGGAGAGCUGUCCCUAAGCUUGCCGGACUCCGGCGAUGUGGUAAGAGCUGUCGUCUUCGUUGGACUAAUUAUCUUCGCCCUGACUUGAAGAGAGGCCUUCUCAAUGAAGCUGAAGAGCAAUUGGUCAUUGAUCUUCAUGCUCGUCUUGGCAAUAGGUUAAAUCUCUUAAUUAUUCUAUGCUUCACUAACUAAUUUGUUAUUAGGGAGAGAUGAUCAUGCAUAUCUUCAAAGCAUUUUUUAUUUAAAAUUUUUAAGUGUUUUUGGAACUUCUUUUAAUUAAUAAACUUUUUUUGGAUCUUCUCUUCCUUAUUUUGGUCUCACAUUUUUCAAUAAUUAUAUAUUGUAUUGUAUUUUGAAUUCACCCUCAUCUUAAUCCCAUAUUUCUUGGUAAUUUCAUAAAAAUGAUUUUACAAUUUUUCUUUUUUAGAAUUACAUUUUUAUUUCGAAUUUAUUUUUAAUAAUAAAGGAGCACCUUUUUUUUAGUAAUUAAAUUCAUUUUUAUCCUUAAAGCAAUUAUUUUUGAAUAAACUCAACACAUAGUUUUGAUAAUUUGAUUUUAGUUAGUGGCUUUAGCGUCCAAAUAGAUGUGGAUGCUGGUGUACGCAUUUAUAUAAAUUUUAUUUGAUUGUUAUUGUUAAAUUUCCUUACAUUUAAUUUUAACUAAAACUUUGAUUGAUUGUAUAUAUUAAAAUUUCGUUUUGCAUCCGCUCUUGGCGUUUGGCGUGGUGGCUUCAUCGGGCUAUUUAUAAUAUACUCCUUGAGCACUACAAAAUAGUGCUCUGCACACACACAACAUUACGGUUAUUCUUUAAUUUUAGGAGAAAUGGAUCCUACAUAUUGUAAGAAAGCAUGUGCUACAAGAGCAAUAAAUGAUCUCUCAGCUUCAUCAUUGAUGUCUUCUAAAUAUAAUAGGACCUCAAAAUAUUUUUUUUACUGUAAAAAUAAGCUUUGUUUUCUUUAAAGAAGAUAAUGCGUUUUUGAAAUGAAGUGUUUGACAAGGUGACUUGCACAGUCUCUGCAUUUGUGGGGAAGGUCCGCCUAAUAUUUUGCCAAAGAUGUGACUGAUUAUGAUUGUGAUAAUAUCUGUAUUUCAACUAUAACUAAUAUUUCAACCUUUUUCUCUUUGUAUUCUUUAGAAUAUGUACUUUUGAACGAAUAAGCAGGCGGAGCCAUAAAAAGUUUUGUCGAAGAGUGUGAAAGCUAGCAUAAAUUAGUAUAUUUAAUGAUGCCGUAUCUUGAUUUUAGCUUUCCAAUUAUUAAUUUUCAUAUAAUCUUCAAUUUGCUUAAGAUUCAAGUGAUUAAUACUUGUGUAACUCUGCAUUUUCUUGCAAUUCUUUGUCUGGUUAUUCAUUUCCAUUUGUUUUUAUAUACUUAGGUGGUCAAAGAUUGCUGCUAGGUUGCCUGGAAGGACAGACAAUGAGAUCAAGAAUCACUGGAACACCCACAUCAAGAAAAAGCUUAUUAAGAUGGGGAUUGAUCCUGUUACGCAUGAAUCCUUCCAUAAAGAGCCCAGGACCGAGGAAAGUUCAUCGAUAUCCCAGACUGAUAAUCUUUUACCGGAAUCUGGCAGCAAGAACAACAGUAGUAUGCGAGAAAAUGAUGGUGGCAUCGUAAACUCGGAGGAAAAUUCAAGCUCAUCGCAUGAAAAUUGUUGUAGUGAUGAAUCGAUUCUAUUAGAUAGUAUCUGCAACGACGAAACGUUAUUGAAUAGCUUGUGGAUGGAUGAGCCUCCUCUAGUUGACGCAUCAUGGAACAAUAAUAAUCCUCCUGCAACAGAUAAUACUAACAAUAAUGGAGAAUUGGGUUAUCCAUAUCCAUCGUGGGAAGAUAAUUGCACCUGGUUAUUGGAUUGCCAAGACUUUGGAGUCCAUGAUUUUGGCUUUGAUUGCUUCGACGACCUGGAGUUUAAGUCACUGAACGCAUUAGAGAUGGAACAAAAGCACUAGAAUAAUCGUAUGUUACGUACGUACGUAGUGAGAAAAUUUUAAGGUUCAAAUGGGAGGAAAAAAACAAAAGAAAUUAAAAGGAUACAGAAAGAAUCAUGUAUAGCUGAAGUUAGGUUCUGGAAAGUGCUGAAUUUUUAUCAGUUAUGCAUCAGAUCAUAGUUGGGGGGUCGAAGCAAAACCUGUCUUCUUUAGAGGUUUCUCACCAACCAAGUCAAAAACAGUCCCAAAAAAAUAUCAUUAAAAUUUGACAUUAUUAUUCUUGGUGCUUUUUACGAAUUUCAUAGUCUUAUGUGUAACAGAUAGGGACCCGUUUGGACCAUUGUCUAAAAACAAAAUGUUAGUGGGCUUGUCUGAAAAUUAUAACAUUAUUUGUAUAUAAAUGUUGUAUGAUGUUGCGAAUAAAUUAAAGUGGAUAUACA